Cercocebus atys (sooty mangabey) is the source of this 1071-nucleotide long non-coding RNA. RefSeq lists it as uncharacterized. The transcript is spliced from 5 exons. The record is from RefSeq and is a predicted model, not a curated record. NCBI's taxonomy places the organism in Eukaryota, Metazoa, Chordata, Mammalia, Primates, Cercopithecidae.
UCCACCCACCUCAGCCUCCCACAGUGCUGGGAUGACAGGUGUGAGCCACCGCGCCUAAAUUCUUUCUUAGGCAAAGCCAAGAACUGUCCUGGGCUAUGCCCCAAUCUGGGAGCUCACCUUCCCCGCAUCGUCGAGUGACCAGGAAAGGAUGAUGAGGACAGCGAGUGAGAGGCAGAGAGACUUUCAGCCGAGGCAGGGACAAUUAGCAGAGAGGCGAGAUGGCUGGACAGCAGAGAUGGUGACAGUCAGCGAUCCAAGGAGGGGUGGCAAUGGGUGAGAGACACGGAGAGGUGGCACUGGGCAAGACAGCGAGAGGUUGCUGAGACAGGUGGAGAGACAGCGAGGACAGGGCAGUCUGUGAUCAGGGCUCCAAGAGCGGUCACACUGAGGCCGUAACGAUAAACAGCUGCUAAUACUGCAGAGCUGUCAUACUAACCAGAGGCUUUGCCCUUGGCGCCUUCAUCUUUCCCUGGCUGGUGGUGGAGCUCAGCGACGGGCAAGCAGCUCUUACGACUUAGAUCUUAGCAGUCAGAACAGAACAAGCUUUCACUGCUGAUGAACCAAGUACAAUGACAACUCUGAGAAGCUUUAGCUCUACAUCAUGAUGGAUUGGGAGCAGGUGCAAAGCCUGUGGGCUAUCAAAGCACUUUGACCUCUGAAAGUUUUCGGAAACUCACUGGCGUCACCAACCAAAGCACAACAUGCUGCCACCACAGAUAUUUCUAAAUGUCCGAAGUAGCAGCUUCCGUUGGACAACAGGAGUGUAAGCAGGAGCCAAGAGUGAAACAUGCUCUUCACCCUCUUACAAAGACUGUGAGGUUUGGUGUAUUCGUCCAGAGAGACUUCAAAUGCAGCUAUCACAGAGAAGAAGUAGCUGCUGCCAUCAUCACAGUCUGUGCAUCUGUGCAAAAGGGGCAUCUUAUCCCAGAGAUAAAGUUUUGGGACACCAUGAAGUCAUCUCCUUGCUGACAGCCAUAGAAGACGUUCCUGCUUUCCCUCCACCUUCCGCCAUGACUGUAAGUUUCCUGAGGCCUCCCCAGCCGUGCUUCCUGUAUGGCCUGUGGAACCGUG